UACGGGAGGCAGCAGUGGGGAAUAUUGCACAAUGGGCGAAAGCCUGAUGCAGCUAUGCCGCGUGUAUGAAGAAGGCCUUAGGGUUGUAAAGUACUUUCAUCGGGGAGGAAAAAACAAAACUAAUAAUUUUAUUUCUUGACGUUACCCGAAAAAGAAGCACCGGCUAACUCCGUGCCAGCAGCCGCGGUAAUACGGAGGGUGCUAGCGUUAAUCAGAAUUACUGGGCGUAAAGAGCACGUAGGUGGUUUUUUUAAAGUCAGAUGUGAAAUCCCUGGGCUUAACCUAGGAACUGCAUUUUGAAACUGAAAUACUAGAGUAUCGUAGAGGGAGGUAGAAUUCUAGGUGUAGCGGUGAAAUGCGUAGAUAUCUGGAGGAAUACCUGUGGCGAAAGCGGCCUCCUAAACGAAUACUGACACUGAGGUGCGAAAAGCGUGGGGAGCAAAACAGGGAUUAGAUACC
This 459-nucleotide ribosomal RNA is filed under the name uncultured bacterium. RNAcentral describes it as "bacterial SSU rRNA". It matches the Rfam family "Bacterial small subunit ribosomal RNA", at positions 340 to 786 of the family's 1533-position model. The record is from RNAcentral.